RNAcentral lists this long non-coding RNA (572 nucleotides) under Nicotiana benthamiana. Its description in RNAcentral is "long non-coding RNA (NBEN_LNC010161)". Lineage: Eukaryota; Viridiplantae; Streptophyta; Magnoliopsida; Solanales; Solanaceae. The record is from RNAcentral.
UGUGACGCUAUAUUAGGGUGUGACUUGCACCCCAUAGCAGGUGCGGGUUCGUAUAUGAUUGGGUAUUGUGACUUGGUCCAUCCCGAGUGCUAACUAUAAUUUAUUGCCAACUGAUACACACAUUGUAUUGUUGAAAAUUGGGCUUAUUGCCAUAUCUGGGGCCUUGUGCCGAUUUGUAGCAUCCGUCUAGGAUGAAUAUCAUUGUGAUAUCAUGAUUUGUAUAAUCAUUGAUCUCAGUCCUGUAUCUAAUCACUUUUAUGAAAUGCUAAGUCAUGUUUUCCCUAAAAUUAAAUAAUUAAAUUAAUCCGUCUAGGAUGAAUAAUAUUGUGAUAUCAUGAUUUGUAUAAUUAUUGAUCUCAGUCCUAUGUCUAAUCACUGUUAUGAAAUGCUAAGUCAUUUUUCCUGAAAUUAAAUAACUAAAUUAUAUUCUUCUUAAUAAAUUGAAAUUGGAAAAUUAAUUGAAUCUGUUAUGUGACUCAUAUGCAUACUAUGGACUGAGUAUGGAUUGGGUUGCACGCCGCAGUAAUGACAUGAUGAUAUUGCACUUGGCCUGUAGGAUCCCCCCCCCCCNN